Molecule: ribosomal RNA, 497 nt
Filed under: uncultured bacterium
Lineage: Bacteria
Description: partial 16S ribosomal RNA
Rfam family: Bacterial small subunit ribosomal RNA
Source: RNAcentral
GAUGAACGCUGGCGGCGUGCCUAAUACAUGCAAGUCGAGCGAACGGACGAGAAGCUUGCUUCUCUGAUGUUAGCGGCGGACGGGUGAGUAACACGUGGAUAACCUACCUAUAAGACUGGGAUAACUUCGGGAAACCGGAGCUAAUACCGGAUAAUAUUUUGAACCGCGUGGUUCAAAAGUGAAAUACGGUCUUGCUGUCACUUCUCGAUGGAUCCGCGCUGCAUUAGCUAGUUGGUAAGGUAACGGCUUACCAAGGCAACGUGGCAUAGCCGACCGGAUAGGGUGGUCGGCCGCACUGGAACUGUGACACGGUCCAGAGGCCUACGGGAGGCACCAGUAGGGAAUCUUCCGCAAUGGGCGAAGGCCUGACGGAGCAGCGCCGCGUGAGUGAGGAAGAUCUUCGGAUCGUAAAACUCUGUUAUUAGGGAAGAACAUAUGUGUAAGUAACUGUGCACAUCUUGACGGUACCUAAUCAGAGAGCCACGGCUAACUACGUG